CUCUGACGGAGCAACGCCGCGUGAGUGAUGAAGGCUUUCGGGUCGUAAAACUCUGUUGUUAGGGAAGAACAAGUGCUAGUUGAAUAAGCUGGCACCUUGACGGUACCUAACCAGAAAGCCACGGCUAACUACGUGCCAGCAGCCGCGGUAAUACGUAGGUGGCAAGCGUUAUCCGGAAUUAUUGGGCGUAAAGCGCGCGCAGGUGGUUUCUUAAGUCUGAUGUGAAAGCCCACGGCUCAACCGUGGAGGGUCAUUGGAAACUGGGAGACUUGAGUGCAGAAGAGGAAAGUGGAAUUCCAUGUGUAGCGGUGAAAUGCGUAGAGAUAUGGAGGAACACCAGUGGGGAAGGCGACUUUCUAAGGUCUGUACGGGCCGCAAACUCAAGGACAUUUACGGACAGCACACUGAAAGAAACGUGACGGGCAGCAAACUCAAAGGAAUUAGAUACCCUGGUAGUCCACGCAAACGUCAAAGGAAUUGACGUGCAGUAAGUGUUAGAGGAA
RNAcentral lists this ribosomal RNA (503 nucleotides) under Bacillus mycoides. RNAcentral's name for it is "bacterial SSU rRNA". It matches the Rfam family "Bacterial small subunit ribosomal RNA", at positions 381 to 831 of the family's 1533-position model. The record is from RNAcentral. Lineage: Bacteria; Bacillati; Bacillota; Bacilli; Caryophanales; Bacillaceae.